This 446-nucleotide ribosomal RNA is filed under the name uncultured bacterium. RNAcentral describes it as "SSU rRNA". It matches the Rfam family "Bacterial small subunit ribosomal RNA", at positions 26 to 518 of the family's 1533-position model. The record is from RNAcentral.
AGAGCGAACGCUGGCGGCAGGCUUAACACAUGCAAGUCGAGCGGAUGUAGCAAUACAUCAGCGGCAGACGGGAUAGUAACACGUGGGAACGCGCCCUUUGGUUCGGAAUAACUCAGGGAAACUUGAGCUAAUACCGGAUAAGCCCUUACGGGGAAAGAUUUAUCGCCAAAGGAACGGCCCGCGUCCGAUUAGCUAGUUGGUGAGGUAAUGGCUCACCAAGGCGACGAUCGGUAGCUGGUCUGAGAGGAUGACCAGCAUCACUGGGACUGAGACACGGCCCAGACUCCUACGGGAGGCAGCAGUGGGGAAUAUUGGACAAUGGGCGCAAGCCUGAUCCAGCCAUGCCGCGUGGAUGAUGAAGGCCCUAGGGUUGUAAAGUCCUUUAACGGGGAAGAUAAUGACGGUACCCGUAGAAUAAGCCCGGCUAACUUCGCGCCAGCAGCCGC